This 1680-nucleotide ribosomal RNA is filed under the name Triticum aestivum (bread wheat). RNAcentral's name for it is "partial small subunit ribosomal RNA". Lineage: Eukaryota; Viridiplantae; Streptophyta; Magnoliopsida; Poales; Poaceae. The record is from RNAcentral.
AUGGAGCUGGGGGCGGCCGGGAUGCGGCGGUCGGCGUCGCACAACUCGCUGUCCGGGUCCGAUGACUUCGACCUCACACACCUGCUCAACAAGCCGCGGAUCAACGUCGAGCGCCAGCGCUCCUUCGAUGACCGUUCGCUCAGCGACGUCUCCUACUCCGGUGGCCACGCCAGAGGAGGCGGAGGCUUCGACGGCAUGUACUCCCCGGGCGGCGGUCUACGCUCUCUGGUCGGCACGCCGGCCUCCUCGGCGCUCCACUCUUUCGAGCCCCACCCCAUAGUGGGCGACGCCUGGGAGGCCCUCCGCCGCUCCCUCGUCUUUUUCCGCGGCCAGCCGCUUGGUACCAUCGCCGCUUUCGACCAUGCAUCCGAGGAAGUCCUAAACUAUGAUCAGGUGUUUGUGAGAGAUUUCGUGCCCAGCGCCAUGGCGUUUCUGAUGAAUGGCGAGCCGGAGAUUGUCAAGAACUUCCUGCUCAAGACCGUGUUGCUGCAGGGUUGGGAGAAGAAGGUUGAUCGGUUUAAGCUUGGCGAGGGGGCCAUGCCUGCAAGCUUUAAAGUGCUUCAUGACGAUAAGAAGGGUGUUGAUACCCUGCACGCGGAUUUUGGUGAGAGCGCAAUUGGGCGGGUUGCACCAGUGGAUUCGGGCUUCUGGUGGAUCAUACUAUUGCGGGCCUACACAAAGUCCACCGGGGAUUUGACUCUGGCAGAGAGGCCGGAAUGCCAGAAGGCGAUGAGGCUCAUUCUGAGCUUGUGCUUGUCUGAGGGAUUUGAUACCUUCCCGACAUUGUUAUGUGCUGAUGGUUGCUGCAUGAUAGAUCGUAGGAUGGGUGUGUAUGGCUACCCCAUUGAAAUUCAAUCCCUUUUCUUCAUGGCACUAAGGUGUGCUCUUCUAAUGCUUAAACAUGACGCUGAAGGGAAAGAUUUUGUGGAGCGGAUUGCAACUCGUCUUCAUGCUUUAAGUUAUCACAUGCGGAGUUAUUUUUGGCUAGAUUUCCAGCAGCUAAAUGAUAUUUAUCGUUACAAGACGGAAGAAUAUUCUCAUACAGCUGUCAACAAAUUUAAUGUUAUUCCAGAUUCUAUUCCGGACUGGCUAUUUGAUUUCAUGCCUUGCGAGGGUGGUUUUUUUGUUGGUAAUGUCAGUCCUGCAAGGAUGGACUUCCGUUGGUUUGCACUUGGAAACAUGAUUGCCAUAGUAUCAUCUCUUGCUACACCUGAGCAAUCCAUGGCCAUAAUGGAUCUCAUUGAGGAGCGCUGGGAAGAGUUAAUUGGUGAGAUGCCUCUGAAGAUAUGCUAUCCUGCUAUUGAGAACCAUGAAUGGCGUAUCGUGACGGGAUGUGAUCCAAAAAAUACGAGAUGGAGUUACCACAAUGGAGGAUCUUGGCCAGUACUUCUCUGGCUGCUCACAGCAGCAAGCAUCAAAACUGGACGGCCGCAAAUUGCAAGAAGAGCAAUUGACCUAGCUGAGAGGAGGCUGUUGAAGGAUGGCUGGCCUGAGUAUUACGAUGGUAAGCUUGGAAAAUAUGUUGGCAAGCAGGCAAGGAAAUUUCAGACUUGGUCCAUUGCCGGGUAUUUGGUCGCCAAGAUGCUGCUGGAGGAUCCUUCGCAUCUUGGUAUGAUAGCCUUGGAAGAGGACAAGGCAAUGAAGCCAGUUUUGAGAAGGUCCGCCUCAUGGACAAACUGA